This is a long non-coding RNA of Leopardus geoffroyi (Geoffroy's cat), 506 nucleotides long. RefSeq lists it as uncharacterized. The transcript is spliced from 3 exons. NCBI's taxonomy places the organism in Eukaryota, Metazoa, Chordata, Mammalia, Carnivora, Felidae. The record is from RefSeq and is a predicted model, not a curated record.
CAGCGUCUCUUGCGUUAUUGGCUGAGGCGGUCACAAAGGCUAACCUGGAAGAGGACGCGGACGCCAUUAUCUUGAUGGGAUUGGCAAGGUUUUAGAAGAGGUCUGGGCUGGGAGAUACGGUGGUGGCCAGUUUAGGCCACGGUCGGCCUCCGUCUUGGGGUCUAAUUGGAAGGGGACGAUGAAAACAACGAAGAAGGAAGGGCAAAGGCUGAAUUGGAAUGUCCUAGAUCUUCAGAGCCACAGGACAGAAAGACCCUGAGUGCAAAAAGACACCCCCUGAGCACAAAUGCACUGAACUGUUACCUUGGUAUUUAUUUGACACCAACUAGCAUUAACUUAGUUCAUGAAUAAAGUGAAUGACCUCAUUGCAAAUAUGCUGCUAUUGAAGAACUCUGGGAUUUCUGGUUUAAAUUCUACCUGAGCACAUUAUAGAAGGAUUCAAUUACCUGAUAUAGUAUUUAUUUAGAAAAUUUGCAUUUAUGUGAAUAAAUGUUAUUGGAAUAUGA